This 314-nucleotide ribosomal RNA is filed under the name Bos taurus (domestic cattle). RNAcentral's name for it is "SSU rRNA". It matches the Rfam family "Eukaryotic small subunit ribosomal RNA", at positions 195 to 520 of the family's 1831-position model. The record is from RNAcentral. Lineage: Eukaryota; Metazoa; Chordata; Mammalia; Artiodactyla; Bovidae.
GAAGAGGUGUAUUUAUUAGAAUGAAAACCAAUAGUCUUUGUCUGUUUGAGAGUAAUAAUAACUUGUCAUAUCGCAUGCUUUUGUAGAGAUGUGUCUUUAAAGUUUCCCCCCUAUCAGCUUUAGAUGGUAGUGUAGUGGACUCCCAUGACAGUCGCGGGUAGAGAAGAAUUGGGGUUAGAUUUCGGAGAGGGAGCGUGAGAGAUGGCUCCCACAUCCAAGGAAGGCAGCAGGCGUGUAAAUUCCCCAAUCCUGACACAGGGAGGUAGUGACAAUAAAUCACAAUGGGGGAAUUCAGUUCGCAAUUGGAUUGAGAA